CGCGUAGGCGGUUUUGUCGGUCAGAUGUGAAAGCCCAGGGCUCAACCCUGGACGUGCAUUUGAAACAGCAAGACUUGAGUACGGGAGAGGAAAGCGGAAUUCCUGGGUGUAGAGGUGAAAUUCGUAGAUAUCAGGAGGAACACCGAUGGCGAAGGCAGCUUUCUGGACCGAUACUGACGCUGAGGCGCGAAGGCGUGGGGUAGCGAACA
This 209-nucleotide ribosomal RNA is filed under the name uncultured delta proteobacterium. Its description in RNAcentral is "partial 16S ribosomal RNA". It matches the Rfam family "Bacterial small subunit ribosomal RNA", at positions 568 to 774 of the family's 1533-position model. The record is from RNAcentral. Lineage: Bacteria; Deltaproteobacteria.